UACGUAGGGGCCGAGCGUUGUCCGGAAUCACUGGGCGUAAAGGGCGCGUAGGCGGGAUGGCAAGUCGGUCGUGAAAUCCUUCGGCUCAACCGAAGAACGUCGGCCGAUACUGCCGUUCUUGAGGGAUGCAGAGGAGAUUGGAAUUCCCGGUGUAGCGGUGAAAUGUGUAGAGAUCGGGAGGAACACCGGUGGCGAAGGCGGCGACCUGGUCCUAUACUGACACUCAUACACGAAAGCGUGGGGAUCAAACAGG
Molecule: ribosomal RNA, 253 nt
Filed under: uncultured bacterium
Lineage: Bacteria
Description: partial 16S ribosomal RNA
Rfam family: Bacterial small subunit ribosomal RNA
Source: RNAcentral